Molecule: ribosomal RNA, 248 nt
Filed under: uncultured bacterium
Lineage: Bacteria
Description: partial 16S ribosomal RNA
Rfam family: Bacterial small subunit ribosomal RNA
Source: RNAcentral
GUGCCUACGGGGCGCAGCAGUGAGGAAUAUUGGUCAAUGGACGCAGGGCUGAACCAGCCAAGGCGCGUGAGGGAUGACGGCCCUAUGGAUUGUAAACCUCGUUUGUCAGGGAGCAAAGGGAGCCACGUGUGGCGUUUUGCGAGUACCUGAAGAAAAAGCAUCGGCUAACUCCGUGCCAGCAGCCGCGGUAAUACGGAGGAUGCGAGCGUUAUCCGGAUUUAUUGGGUUUAAAGGGUGCGCAGGCGGAA